CGCCCCCCGCCCCCGCCACCCGCCGCCCUCACCUCGUUGUACUCGGAAAAAUCCAGCACGGCCCGCACCGGAGCAGAGGAGGCGACGGAGGCGAAGAUGAGGUGUUUCCGUGUCUUCCCGGACUUUCCGAAGCAGGCUGCAGUUAGUGCCUUCCUAGGGCACUUAGAACCCCGUACAGCUUGUGAAAACGUGGGGAGAUAGAGAAGCGUGGAGGCACAGAGACAGGGGUGGAGAUAGAGAUGACAGAGGCGAGAGUGAGAUGGAAAAACGACGAGACUGACACAGCCGGAGACCAGGAGAGGGUCCAGGACACUGGCCAGCGGCGGGGGCCCUGGCUGUAUAUGGAAACGCUAAGCCGAGGAUAAGUGACGGGUGCAGACCAAUUUGGAAGCAGGGCCUAGGGGAGCUGACCUGCACACACUGUGCACACAGGAGGUGUGAAAAAUGGGGCAAGUGUUCAUCCAUCAGAUCCCUUCCAGUUCCUCUCGUGAGAAACUGCCAAACUGUCUUCCAAAGUGGUUGCAUUCCCACCAGCAACGUUGUGAGAGUUCCUGUUGCCCCACACCCUCCCCAGCAUUUGGUGUCGUCCGUGUUUUGGAUUUUGGCCAUUCCAACAGGUGCGUGGUGGUGUCUCGUUGUUGUUUUUAUUUGCAUUUCCAUGACGACAUGUAAUGUUGACCAUCUUUCAUAUGCUUAUUUUUUUCUCCUAUGUUAUCUGCUAGGAGUUUUAUAGUUUUGUGUUUUACACUUAAGUCUAUGAUUCUUUCUUUUUCUUUUUUGCAUGUGGACAUGUAAUUGUUCCGGCACUAUUUGUUGAAAAGGCUGUCUUUUAUCCAUUGUAUUGUUUUUGCUCCUUUGUCAAGGAUCAACAGGUUAAAUUUGUGUGGGUCUGUUUCUGUAUGCUUUAUUCUGUUUAUUCUUAUCCAUUUAUCUGUUCUUUUGCCAAUAACACAAUGUCUUGAUUAUUGUGAUUUUAUCAUACUUCUUGAAGUCAGGUAGUGUCAGUCCUCCAACUUUAUCCUUCUCUUUCAAUAUUGUGUUGACAAUUCUGGGUCUUUCGCUUCUCCAUAUAAACUUUAGAAUCAACUUGUUAAUAUCCCAAAACAAUUCGCUGGGGGUUUGAUUGGGGUUGUGUCGAAUCUAUAGAUCAAGCUGGGAAAAACUAACAUCUUGUCAGUGUUAAGUCUUUCUAUCCAUGAACAUGGAAUAUCUAUUUAGUUCUUUGAUUUAUUUCAUCAAAGUUUUAUAGUUUUUUUUUUCCUUGAGAGAGAGAGAGAGAGAGAGAGAGAGAGAGAGAGAGAGAGAGAAUAUGAACAAGUCAGGGGGUAGAGGGAGAAGGAGAGACAGAAUCUCAAGCAGGUUCCAUGCCCAGCACAGAGCCUGACACAGAGCCUGAUGCAGAGCUUAAUCCCACAACCCUGAGAUCAUGACCUGAACUGAAAUCAAGACUCGGACGUGUAACCAACUGAGCCACCCAGGUGCUUUUGUACUUUUCUUCGCGUAUAGACUUUGUACACAUUUUGUUAGAAUUGUACCUAAGUAUUUUAUUUUGGGGGUGUAAAUGUAAAUCACAUUGUAUUUUUAUUUUCAAAUCCCAAAUUUUCAUUGCUAGUAUGUAGGAAAAUGAUUGACUUUCGUAUAUUAACCUUGUAUCCUACAACCUUGCUAUAAUUGCUUUUUAGUUCCAGGAGGGAUUUGUUUAGUAUUUUUUCCUGGUUGUUUUUGCCUUGAGAACUUGCCUGGGUUUAGCAUGCUGGAGACUAUGAGAUGUGUGGAGAUUGUGUGAUUGUUUAUUGUUCACCAGAUAUGUGAGUCAAUCCAGCUGGGACCUUAAACAGUCUAGUCAGUCCUGACCUAUAUUAGUUAACCACAGGCUAGUGAGAUAAAUAGAUUCUAAUUAUUUUAAGCUACUGAAUUUGGAUAGUUUGUUAAGCAGUAGAUUUGUGGCAGUAGAUAAGUGUUGUGUACAUUAAAAUAGCAUUCAUUUUACUCCAGCAGAACUAGCCUCCUUGGUAUUCCUUAAAUACACAAGGUAGAUUCCAUAUCAGGCUCCCUGUGGGCACUCUAUCCUCUGUCUGGAAUCAAUUUACCUAGACAGCCCCAAGGAUCAUUCAUUUUCUUCCUUCAGAUUUUUUGCCCAAAUGUCACCAAUAAUCCAUUUAGAAUUUGAAAAUAAAAAUUCACCCCUAAUGUCCUUCUCUCAAUUUUUUUCCUUAGCAU
Neofelis nebulosa (Clouded leopard) is the source of this 2220-nucleotide long non-coding RNA. RefSeq lists it as uncharacterized. The record is from RefSeq and is a predicted model, not a curated record. NCBI's taxonomy places the organism in Eukaryota, Metazoa, Chordata, Mammalia, Carnivora, Felidae. The transcript has 4 exons.